This 349-nucleotide ribosomal RNA is filed under the name uncultured eukaryote. RNAcentral describes it as "SSU rRNA". It matches the Rfam family "Eukaryotic small subunit ribosomal RNA", at positions 594 to 945 of the family's 1831-position model. The record is from RNAcentral.
AUAGCGUAUACUAAAGUUGUUGCAGUUAAAAAGCUCGUAGUUGAAUUUCUGGUCUUGGAUCUCGGUCUGCCUCAAACGAGGUAUGUACCAGGGAUCUGAGACCAUCCUCGAGGAAAACAUGUCUGUCAUUAAGUUAAUGGGCAUGGGAUCCUCGUCAUUUACUGUGAGCAAAAUAGGGUGUUCAAAGCAGGCUUAUGCCGUUGAAUACAUUAGCAUGGAAUAAUAAGAUAAGACCUUGGUCUAUUUUGUUGGUUUGUACUCCAAGGUAAUGAUUAAUAGGGAUAGUUGGGGGUAUUCGUAUUCAAUUGUCAGAGGUGAAAUUCUUGGAUUUAUGGAAGACGAACUACUG